UACGUAGGGUGCGAGCGUUAAUCGGAAUUACUGGGCGUAAAGCGUGCGCAGGCGGUUUUGUAAGCCAGAUGUGAAAUCCCCGGGCUUAACCUGGGAAUGGCAUUUGGGACUGCAAGGCUCGAGUGCGGCAGAGGAGACUGGAAUUCCUGGUGUAGCAGUGAAAUGCGUAGAUAUUGGGAAGAACACCAGUGGCGAAAGCGGACUUCUGGGUUGUUACUGACGCUGAGGUACGAAAGCGUGGGGAGCAAACGGG
This 253-nucleotide ribosomal RNA is filed under the name uncultured bacterium. Its description in RNAcentral is "partial 16S ribosomal RNA". It matches the Rfam family "Bacterial small subunit ribosomal RNA", at positions 524 to 776 of the family's 1533-position model. The record is from RNAcentral.